RNAcentral lists this ribosomal RNA (790 nucleotides) under uncultured archaeon. RNAcentral's name for it is "bacterial SSU rRNA". It matches the Rfam family "Archaeal small subunit ribosomal RNA", at positions 85 to 879 of the family's 1478-position model. The record is from RNAcentral.
ACGGCUCAGUAACACGUCGAUAAUCUUCCCUUUGGUCAAGGAUAAUCUCGGGAAACUGAGAACAACACUUGAUAGGAUAUAAAUUCUGGAAUGAAUUAUNAACUCAAAGGUAACGCCAAAGGAUGAGUCGGCGGCAGAUUUAGGUUGUUGGUGAGGUAAUGGCUCACCAAGCCAAAGAUCUGUACGGGCCGUGAGAGCGGUAGCCCGGAGAAGGACACUGAGAUACUGGUCCUAGCCCUACGGGGUGCAGCAGGCGCGAAAACUUUACAAUGCACGAAAGUGUGAUAAGGGAAUCCUAAGUGCUCAUACACAGUAUGGGCUUUUGCCAAGGGUAAAUACCUUGGAGAAUAAGCGGUGGGAAAGACUGGUGCCAGCAGCCGCGGUAACCCCAGCGCCGCAAGUGGGGACCUUUUUAUUGGGCCUAAAGCGUCCGUAGCUGGUUGUGUAAAUCUCUUGUGAAAUUGUCAGCCUCAAUCUGACAGCAUGCAGGAGACACUGCAUUACUAGAGACCGGGAGAGGUAAGGAGUAUUUCGGGGGAACCGGUAAAAUGGGAUAAUCCCCGAAAGACUACCUGUGGCGAAGGCGCCUUACCAGAACGGAUCUGACAGUGAGGGACGAAGGCUAGGGGAGCAAACCGGAUUAGAUACCCGAGUAGUCCUAGCAGUAAACGCUGCGAGCCAGGCGUUGCAUAUUCUAGUGAAUAUGCAGUGUCGAAAUGAAGAUGUUAAGCUCGCCGCCUGGGAAGUAUGGUCGCAAGACUGAAACUUAAAGGAAUUGGCGGGGGAGCAC